RNAcentral lists this ribosomal RNA (137 nucleotides) under uncultured bacterium. Its description in RNAcentral is "partial 16S ribosomal RNA". It matches the Rfam family "Bacterial small subunit ribosomal RNA", at positions 355 to 509 of the family's 1533-position model. The record is from RNAcentral.
UGGGGAAUAUUGCACAAUGGGGGAAACCCUGAUGCAGCAACGCCGCGUGGGUGAAGAAGUAUUUCGGUAUGUAAAGCCCUAUCAGCAGGGAAGAGAAUGACGGUACCUGACUAAGAAGCCCCGGCUAACUACGUGCC